RNAcentral lists this ribosomal RNA (253 nucleotides) under uncultured bacterium. RNAcentral's name for it is "partial 16S ribosomal RNA". It matches the Rfam family "Bacterial small subunit ribosomal RNA", at positions 524 to 776 of the family's 1533-position model. The record is from RNAcentral.
UACGGAGGGAGCUAGCGUUGUUCGGAAUCACUGGGCGUAAAGCGCACGUAGGCGGAUUUGUAAGUCAGGGGUGAAAUCCCGGGGCUCAACCUCGGAACUGCCUUUGAUACUGCGAGUCUUGAGUCCGAUAGAGGUGGGUGGAAUUCCUAGUGUAGAGGUGAAAUUCGUAGAUAUUAGGAAGAACACCAGUGGCGAAGGCGGCCCACUGGAUCGGUACUGACGCUGAGGUGCGAAAGCGUGGGGAGCAAACAGG